RNAcentral lists this ribosomal RNA (448 nucleotides) under uncultured bacterium. RNAcentral describes it as "partial 16S ribosomal RNA". It matches the Rfam family "Bacterial small subunit ribosomal RNA", at positions 328 to 793 of the family's 1533-position model. The record is from RNAcentral.
UCGCCAGACUCCUACGGGAGGCAGCAGUGGGGAAUAUUGCACAAUGGGGGAAACCCUGAUGCAGCGACGCCGCGUGAGUGAAGAAGUAUUUCGGUAUGUAAAGCUCUAUCAGCAGGAAAGAAAAUGACGGUACCUGACUAAGAAGCCCCGGCUAACUACGUGCCAGCAGCCGCGGUAAUACGGAGGGUGCAAGCGUUACUCGGAAUCACUGGGCGUAAAGAGCGCGUAGGCGGGAUAGCAAGUCAGAUGUGAAAUCCUAUGGCUUAACCAUAGAACUGCAUUUGGAACUGUUAUUCUAGAGUAUGGGAGAGGUAGGUGGAAUUCUUGGUGUAGGGGUGAAAUGCGUAGAUAUUAGGAGGAACACCAGUGGCGAAGGCGGCCUGCUGGACGAUGACUGACGUUGAGGCUCGAAAGCGUGGGGAGCAAACAGGAUUAGAUACCCCCGUAU